This 442-nucleotide ribosomal RNA is filed under the name uncultured bacterium. RNAcentral's name for it is "partial 16S ribosomal RNA". It matches the Rfam family "Bacterial small subunit ribosomal RNA", at positions 338 to 795 of the family's 1533-position model. The record is from RNAcentral.
CCUACGGGUGGCAGCAGUAGGGAAUCUUUCACAAUGGGCGAAAGCCUGAUGGAGCAACGCCGCGUGCAGGAUGAAGGCCUUCGGGUUGUAAACUGCUUUUAUAAGCGAGAAAUAUGAUGGUAACUUAUGAAUAAGGAUCGGCUAAAUACGUGCCAGCAGCCGCGGUCAUACGUAGGAUCCGAGCAUUAUCCGGGGUGACUGGGUGUAAAGGGUUGCGUAGGUGGCAUAAUAAGUAGCGAGUGAAAUCUGGUGGCUCAACCAUUCAGACUAUUAGCUAAACUGGUAAGCUCGAGACCGUUAGGGGGGAGUAGAAUUUCUAGUGUAGGAGUGAAAUCCGUAGAUAUUAGAAGGAACACCAAUGGCGUAGGCAGGUUGCUGGGACGGUUCUGACACUAAGGCACGAAAGCGUAGGGAGCAAACGGGAUUAGAUACCCUUGUAGUC